UGGGGAAUUUUGCGCAAUGGGGGCAACCCUGACGCAGCGACGCCGCGUGGGUGAAGAAGGCCUUCGGGUUGUAAAGCCCUGUCUAGGGGGAAGAUAGUGACGGUACCCCUGGAGGAAGCCCCGGCUAACUACGUGCCAGCAGCCGCGGUAAUACGUAGGGGGCGAGCGUUGUCCGGAAUUACUGGGCGUAAAGGGCGUGUAGGCGGCCAAGCAAGUCAGCUGUGAAACACCCCGGCUCAACCGUGGUUCUGCAGUUGAAACUGCGUGGCUUGAGUGCAGGAGAGGAGGGUGGAAUUCCUGGUGUAGCGGUGAAAUGCGUAGAUAUCAGGAGGAACACCGGUGGCGAAGGCGACCUUCUGGCCUGUUACUGACGCUGAGGCGCGAAAGCUAGGGGAGCGAACAGG
Molecule: ribosomal RNA, 404 nt
Filed under: uncultured bacterium
Lineage: Bacteria
Description: bacterial SSU rRNA
Rfam family: Bacterial small subunit ribosomal RNA
Source: RNAcentral